AAAACCACAGUAAAACAAUAAUUACCAAGCUGAAAUCGAUAAAGUGAUUUGUAUUUCGGUGCAAUCUUUAAUCUGAUUUAAACAUCUAGUUUUGGAAAGUCACCAAAGAUUAAAUAAUUGUAGGCUUUGAAUAUGAUACAAUCUCGAGAUGGCUGGAGAGUAUAACCAGCGCACGGUUAAUGCUAAUUAAGUAAUGGCUCUUCGGGGAGGCAUUGCGAAGGGUUCACAUUAAUUAAUUAAUGACCAUUCAGCCUCUCGAUAUAUUAAACUUGAUCGGUUUGAAUCUUUGAAUGGAUGUUGUCUGUUUUAGAAUGACGUAGUCAAUAUUUUGAGUUGAACGUGAUUUAGUUACGAAAGAUGCUUCUGGCUUUCUAAUUUGGAUGCUAAUCUUCUUAUUUUAUAUAUAAAAAUUAAUUGCUGUUCGUUAGUCUCGCUAAAACUCGAGAACGGCUGGACCGAUUUGGCUAAUUUUGGUCUUGAAUUAUUUGUGGAAGUCCAGAGGAGGUUUAAAAGAUUAUUAGAUUGUUUUACUUUUGAAAGAGAAAAAAUAUAUCAAAAUAUACAGUUUUAAUUUAUUUUUCGCCUAAAUCCAUUAUGUUUUGGGUUAGCGUUUAAACAUUAUAAUAAUUUCUACAUUACCUAUUUUUCCUAUAGUGGAACCGAGUUUAUUUUCAUGUUGUUUUUAUUUUUAGCUUUAAUUUCAUCACUAGAAUAUAACUAAAUGUAUUAUUGUUUGCUGCAUUUAUUAUUGUAGUUUAUGUAAAUACGUUGUUUUGAAAGUGAUAUUUUGCAUGUAAAUUAAUGAAAGUAAACAUAAUAAAUAAACAAAAUUA
This is a long non-coding RNA of Bombyx mori (domestic silkworm), 833 nucleotides long. RefSeq lists it as uncharacterized. NCBI's taxonomy places the organism in Eukaryota, Metazoa, Arthropoda, Insecta, Lepidoptera, Bombycidae. The transcript has 2 exons. The record is from RefSeq and is a predicted model, not a curated record.